UCCAGACUCCUACGGGAGGCAGCAGUGAGGAAUAUUGGUCAAUGGCCGGAAGGCUGAACCAGCCAAGACGCGUGAGGGAGGAAGGCGCAGAGCGUCGCAGACCUCUUUUGCCGGGGGACAAAAGGCCGGACUCGUCCGGUCCUGAGGGUACCCGGAGAAAAAGCAUCGGCUAACUCCGUGCCAGCAGCCGCGGUAAUACGGAGGAUGCGAGCGUUAUCCGGAUUUAUUGGGUUUAAAGGGUGCGUAGGCGGAUUUUUAAGUCAGCGGUAAAAUGUCCGGGCUCAACCCGGGCCGGCCGUUGAAACUGGGGAUCUUGAGUGGGCGAGAAGUAUGCGGAAUGCGUGGUGUAGCGGUGAAAUGCAUAGAUAUCACGCAGAACUCCGAUUGCGAAGGCAACAUACCGGCGCCCGACUGACGCUGAGGCACGAAAGCGUGGGGAUCGAACAGGAUUAGAUACCCCAGUAUG
Molecule: ribosomal RNA, 466 nt
Filed under: uncultured bacterium
Lineage: Bacteria
Description: partial 16S ribosomal RNA
Rfam family: Bacterial small subunit ribosomal RNA
Source: RNAcentral